UGGGGAAUCUUCCGCAAUGGACGAAAGUCUGACGGAGCAACGCCGCGUGAGUGAAGAAGGUCUUCGGAUUGUAAAGCUCUGUUAUACGGGACGAAAAAGACGGAUGCCAACAGUAUCCGUCCGUGACGGUACCGUAAGAGAAAGCCACGGCUAACUACGUGCCAGCAGCCGCGGUAAUACGUAGGUGGCAAGCGUUGUCCGGAAUUAUUGGGCGUAAAGGGCGCGCAGGCGGUUCGGUAAGUCUGUCUUAAAAGUGCGGGGCUUAACCCCGUGAGGGGACGGAAACUGUCGAACUUGAGUGUCGGAGAGGAAAGCGGAAUUCCUAGUGUAGCGGUGAAAUGCGUAGAUAUUAGGAGGAACACCGGUGGCGAAAGCGGCUUUCUGGACGACAACUGACGCUGAGGCGCGAAAGCGUGGGGAGCAAACAGG
Molecule: ribosomal RNA, 429 nt
Filed under: Verrucomicrobiota bacterium
Lineage: Bacteria; Pseudomonadati; Verrucomicrobiota
Also listed under: 1 other name
Description: Verrucomicrobia bacterium partial 16S ribosomal RNA
Rfam family: Bacterial small subunit ribosomal RNA
Source: RNAcentral